GUGGUAAUGCCGGAUGCUCCGACUCCUCGCAUGGGGUGUCGGGAAAGAUUUCAUCGGUAUGGGAUGGGGUCGCGUCCUAUCAGGUAGUCGGCGGGGUAACGGCCCACCGAGCCUACGACGGGUAGCCGGCCUGAGAGGGCGACCGGCCACAUUGGGACUGAGAUACGGCCCAGACUCCUACGGGAGGCAGCAGUGGGGAAUAUUGCACAAUGGGCGCAAGCCUGAUGCAGCGACGCCGCGUGCGGGAUGACGGCCUUCGGGUUGUAAACCGCUUUUGAUCGGGAGCAAGCCUUCGGGUGAGUGUACCUUUCGAAUAAGCACCGGCUAACUACGUGCCAGCAGCCGCGGUAAUACGUAGGGUGCAAGCGUUAUCCGGAAUUAUUGGGCGUAAAGGGCUCGUAGGCGGUUCGUCGCGUCCGGUGUGAAAGUCCAUCGCUUAACGGUGGAUCUGCGCCGGGUACGGGCGGGCUGGAGUGCGGUAGGGGAGACUGGAAUUCCCGGUGUAACGGUGGAAUGUGUAGAUA
RNAcentral lists this ribosomal RNA (524 nucleotides) under Bifidobacterium pseudocatenulatum. RNAcentral describes it as "bacterial SSU rRNA". It matches the Rfam family "Bacterial small subunit ribosomal RNA", at positions 160 to 696 of the family's 1533-position model. The record is from RNAcentral. Lineage: Bacteria; Bacillati; Actinomycetota; Actinomycetes; Bifidobacteriales; Bifidobacteriaceae.